UACGUAGGGGGCAAGCGUUAAUCGGAAUUACUGGGCGUAAAGCGUGCGCAGGCGGUUGUGCAAGACCGAUGUGAAAUCCCCGGGCUUAACCUGGGAAUGGCAUUGGUGACUGCACGGCUAGAGUGUGUCAGAGGGGGGUAGAAUUCCACGUGGAGCAGUGAAAUGCGUAGAGAUGUGGAGGAAUACCGAUGGCGAAGGCAGCCCCCUGGGUCGAUACUGACGCUCAUGCACGAAAGCGUGGGGAGCAAACAGG
Molecule: ribosomal RNA, 253 nt
Filed under: uncultured bacterium
Lineage: Bacteria
Description: partial 16S ribosomal RNA
Rfam family: Bacterial small subunit ribosomal RNA
Source: RNAcentral